This 750-nucleotide ribosomal RNA is filed under the name uncultured soil bacterium. RNAcentral's name for it is "bacterial SSU rRNA". It matches the Rfam family "Bacterial small subunit ribosomal RNA", at positions 30 to 773 of the family's 1533-position model. The record is from RNAcentral.
UGAACGCUGGCGGCGUGCUUAACACAUGCAAGUCGUGCGGUAACAGGCGUAGCAAUACGUGCUGACGAGCGGCGAACGGGUGCGUAAUACAUGGGAAUCUGCCUUUUAGUGGGGAAUAACCCGGCGAAAGCCGGGCUAAGGCCGCAUAAGAUCUUCGGAUGAAAGCGGGGGAUCGUAAGACCUCGCGCUGAUAGAUGAGCCCAUGCCGGAUUAGCUAGUUGGUGAGGUAACGGCUCACCAAGGCGACGAUCCGUAGCUGGUCUGAGAGGACGGCCAGCCACACUGGGACUGAGACACGGCCCAGACUCCUACGGGAGGCAGCAGUGGGGAAUAUUGGACAAUGGGGGAAACCCUGAUCCAGCGACGCCGCGUGUGUGAAGAAGGCCUGCGGGUUGUAAAGCACUUUCGGUGGGAACGAAAUAUGCCGGGCUAAUACCCCGGUAGGCUGACGUUACUCAAUGAAGAAGCACCGGCUAACUCUGUGCCAGCAGCCGCGGUAAUACAGAGGGUGCGAGCGUUAAUCGGAAUUACUGGGCGUAAAGCGCACGUAGGUGGCGACGUAAGUCGGGUGUGAAAGCCCCGGGCUCAACCUGGGAACUGCAUUCGAGACUGUGUUGCUGGAGUACGGAAGAGGAGGGCGGAAUUCCCGGUGUAGCGGUGGAAUGCGUAGAGAUCCGGAGGAAGACCGGUGGCGAAGGCGGUCUGCUGGGCAGUUUCUGACACUGAGGCGCGACAGCGUGGGGAGCAAAC